UUUAAACGUGGUAGAGUUAGAACGUGUAAUUUCAUUAGUUUCAUCUUUUCUACAGUGAAACAUAACCAGUUAUCUAGUUUGAAACACGGCAUUAAAUUCGUUGAAUGGUGUACUUCCGAAAAGCACAUACCGCCGAUCGAUCUGAAAUUUGGUUUAAUAACGUAUUUUGACCUUCUAAUCACGAAUAUCGUAUCGAAAAUUGGCGCAAACGCCAUUUUGAGUAUGAAAAUCAAAGAAGAACCUCUUUUCGUUCGGUGUGCAUAAUCGCGCAUUCCUAACCGAUUUAGACUAUUUUAGCAUUCCCCAGAAAGGGUAUGUGUGUGUGUACAGCAGAGAUUAGGAACUGUGGGGCUGUGGGGUAGAUAUCGGAGGAAUUGACUUGAGGAUGUGGAAGCCAACAACUUCCUGCUACGGAUGAUGCGAGAUUUGAGAUUGCGGAAGCCAACACUUCCUGCUACGGAUGAUGCGAGAGCGAUCACUCUCUGCUAAUUUUGUCCAGGGUAGCUAAACGCUGCGCUACUGGACUAAGUUGCUGAAACGAAAUAGAAUCACAGAGUCCUCAACGAACGGUGUGAUCCUACAAAAAAUGGUUCUCUCUCGGAUGAGAGAAGCUGGAUAUUAGAUGCAGUAUUCCGGAUGCAGGAUACAAAAUUAUAUGUUGAUGGCGAAGAAGACGAAGAAGACCACAAUCCGCACCAUCGACGGAUUAAUUAUUUACCCGGUCCUACGUUUUUUACA
Cephus cinctus (wheat stem sawfly) is the source of this 738-nucleotide long non-coding RNA. RefSeq lists it as uncharacterized. The record is from RefSeq and is a predicted model, not a curated record. The transcript has 3 exons. NCBI's taxonomy places the organism in Eukaryota, Metazoa, Arthropoda, Insecta, Hymenoptera, Cephidae.